Non-coding RNA from Jimgerdemannia flammicorona, 82 nucleotides. The record is from the annotation of a GenBank genome assembly. NCBI's taxonomy places the organism in Eukaryota, Fungi, Mucoromycota, Endogonomycetes, Endogonales, Endogonaceae.
GCCUUGGUAGCUCAAAUGGUAGAGCGGCUGUAUUACACUUUGCUUGUGCAGGCGGAUGGAGGUUCGAAUCCUCUCCAGGGUU